RNAcentral lists this small RNA (114 nucleotides) under Marmota monax (woodchuck). The record is from RNAcentral. Lineage: Eukaryota; Metazoa; Chordata; Mammalia; Rodentia; Sciuridae.
AGGCAUGGUGGUGCACACCUGUAGCCCCAGCUGCUCAGGACACUGAGGCAGGAGGAUGGCUUGAGCCCGGACAUUCUAGGCUAGGCUGGUCAACAUAGCAAGACCCUAUCUCAA